CGGGUGAGUAACACGUGACCAAUCUACCUUUGAGUGGGGGAUAACUCCGGGAAACCGGAGCUAAUACCGCAUAACAUCUUUGGAACGCAAGUUCCGUUGAUCAAAGCAGCAAUGCGCUUGAAGAGGAGGUCGCGGCUGAUUAGCUAGUUGGCGGGGUAAUGGCCCACCAAGGCGAAGAUCGGUAUCCGGCCUGAGAGGGCGCACGGACACACUGGAACUGAAACACGGUCCAGACUCCUACGGGAGGCAGCAGUGGGGAAUUUUGCGCAAUGGGGGAAACCCUGACGCAGCAACGCCGCGUGGAGGAUGAAGUCCCUUGGGACGUAAACUCCUUUCGACCCGGACGAUAAUGACGGUACGGGUGGAAGAAGCACCGGCUAACUUCGUGCCAGCAGCCGCGGUAAUACGAGGGGUGCGAGCGUUGUUCGGAAUUAUUGGGCGUAAAGGGCGCGUAGGCGGUCGGGUAAGUCACCUGUGAAAUCUCCUGGCUCAACUGGGAGCUUGCAGGCGAAACUGCCUGGCUGGAGUGUGGGAGAGGUGCGUGGAAUUCCCGGUGUAGCGGUGAAAUGCGUAGAUAUCGGGAGGAAC
This 588-nucleotide ribosomal RNA is filed under the name uncultured bacterium. RNAcentral's name for it is "bacterial SSU rRNA". It matches the Rfam family "Bacterial small subunit ribosomal RNA", at positions 103 to 707 of the family's 1533-position model. The record is from RNAcentral.